RNAcentral lists this ribosomal RNA (274 nucleotides) under uncultured bacterium. RNAcentral's name for it is "partial 16S ribosomal RNA". It matches the Rfam family "Bacterial small subunit ribosomal RNA", at positions 523 to 796 of the family's 1533-position model. The record is from RNAcentral.
AUACGGAGGGUGCAAGCGUUAAUCGGAAUUACUGGGCGUAAAGCGCGCGUAGGCGGUUUAGUAAGUCGGAUGUGAAAGCCCUGGGCUCAACCUGGGAAUUGCAUUCGAUACUGCCUGACUAGAGUAUGGUAGAGGGAAGUGGAAUUUCCGGUGUAGCGGUGAAAUGCGUAGAUAUCGGAAGGAACACCAGUGGCGAAGGCGACUUCCUGGGCCAAUACUGACGCUGAGGUGCGAAAGCGUGGGGAGCAAACAGGAUUAGAAACCCGAGUAGUCC